UUGGAGGGCAAGUCUGGUGCCAGCAGCCGCGGUAAUUCCAGCUCCAAUAGCGUAUAUUAAACUUGUUGCAGUUAAAAAGCUCGUAGUUGAAUUUCAGCGUUUCGCGUGUGCCUCUUUUGGCCCAUCUCGUCUCGCUUUUUUUAUUACUUUGAGAAAAUUAGAGUGUUUCAAGCAGGCUUUUGUCUUGAAUACUUGAGCAUGGAAUAAUAGAGUAGGACCUUGGUUCUAUUUUGUUGGUUUUGUUACCUUGGUAAUGGUUAAUAGGAACGGUUGGGGGCAUUCGUAUUUAACUGUCAGAGGUGAAAUUCUUAGAUUUGUUAAAGACGAACUACUGCGAAAGCAUUUGCCAAGGACGUUUCCAUUAAUCAAGAACGAAAGUUAGGGGAUCGAAGACGAUCAGAUACCGUCGUAGUCCU
RNAcentral lists this ribosomal RNA (416 nucleotides) under Babesia occultans. RNAcentral describes it as "SSU rRNA". It matches the Rfam family "Eukaryotic small subunit ribosomal RNA", at positions 548 to 1027 of the family's 1831-position model. The record is from RNAcentral. Lineage: Eukaryota; Apicomplexa; Aconoidasida; Piroplasmida; Babesiidae.